CUAACACAUGCAAGUCGAGCGGUAACACAAGGGAGCUUGCUCCUGAGGUGACGAGCGGCGGACGGGUGAGUAAUGCCUAGGUAUCUGCCCAGUCGAGGGGGAUAACAGUUGGAAACGACUGCUAAUACCGCAUACGCCCUACGGGGGAAAGGAGGGGACCUUCGGGCCUUCCGCGAUUGGAUGAACCUAGGUGGGAUUAGCUAGUUGGUGGGGUAAUGGCUCACCAAGGCGACGAUCCCUAGCUGGUCUGAGAGGAUGAUCAGCCACACUGGAACUGAGACACGGUCCAGACUCCUACGGGAGGCAGCAGUGGGGAAUAUUGCACAAUGGGCGAAAGCCUGAUGCAGCCAUGCCGCGUGUGUGAAGAAGGCCUUCGGGUUGUAAAGCACUUUCAGCGAGGAGGAAAGCUCAAGCGUUAAUAGCGUUUGGGUGUGACGUUACUCGCAGAAGAAGCACCGGCUAACUUCGUGCCAGCAGCCGCGGUAAUACGAGGGGUGCAAGCGUUAAUCGGAAUUACUGGGCGUAAAGCGUACGCAGGCGGUUUGUUAAGCAAGAUGUGAAAGCCCCGGGCUCAACCUGGGAACUGCAUUUUGAACUGGCAAACUAGAGUCUUGUAG
RNAcentral lists this ribosomal RNA (617 nucleotides) under bacterium 4873K4-B7. Its description in RNAcentral is "bacterial SSU rRNA". It matches the Rfam family "Bacterial small subunit ribosomal RNA", at positions 48 to 654 of the family's 1533-position model. The record is from RNAcentral.